Long non-coding RNA from Scophthalmus maximus (turbot), 1362 nucleotides. RefSeq lists it as uncharacterized. NCBI's taxonomy places the organism in Eukaryota, Metazoa, Chordata, Actinopteri, Pleuronectiformes, Scophthalmidae. The transcript has 4 exons. The record is from RefSeq and is a predicted model, not a curated record.
UUUCGUCCUCCAGGGAAAGACGGCGAGACAAUCAAUUCUGUAUUCCCCUCCUCGUGAACCAGCAUCCAUCAUAGACAGUCUAUGUCAGUCAUCCGUUAACAUCUGCUUACCUGCCCAUCUUGUACUCAUUCGAUUUGUAGCCCAGGUGUUUGAUCAGACACCGCACGCCUUCUGCUGCCGUACCUUUCCAGUUGGGCCAGGUGUCAGGACACAGAGGCUUAUACCUGAGCACAGACGAAUAACACACACUCACACACAGCUUCGUGUUUGAUACCAGCUGCAGCUGCUGUGUAUGUGGCCACACAGAGAAACAUGAGAGCGUAUUUUAUGUCAUCUGCAAGAAAAAGAGUAAAUUCAUAUGCCUUUUGAUUGAAAGAGCAAGAAGAGCAGUGUAAUAGCAUGUGUGCUUCAGUACCUCUGCAGGAAGAUCUCGUAUUUGCGGCGGUAAGCAAAUCCAGCGCGCCUGACCCUCAGGUGCUCCAUCAGCCCCAGGUACUUCACCUGAUGCCUCACCAACACGUCAUCAAAGCGCCCUGCAGGAGACGCCGAGACGCUGGGGUUCAUGGGUCAAAAGUAUCUGGUCCUAACUGACAACUAACAAAGGUUUUCAGGUCUCCUCUUGCUGUCCGGCUCAGUGGAGGGGAAACAGUGCCUGAUGAUGGCAUUUUUGGACUGUCGCAUGACCUUAAGAAAAACAGGAAACCUGUAUCAUCACGUCAGACACAUGUCCCUUUCAUAGCGAUGCAAUGAAGGUGAGAUCUGUGGCUUCUCCGGGACGUAAACAUUCCUCGUCCUGUGUGAGAGGACCUGCACCAGAUAACUGUAGUGCUGGCAGUUCCUCUGAAGGCCGAGCCAGCGGAGAAGAUCGUCCUCCCCUCCGUCCACCAGCUGAUAGAAGAUGUGAAAGUUUCUCUCUCCGUGGUUCUGGUGGACCACGCGGGACUUCUCCAGCAGGUAGCUGAGGAUGUGGCCACCGACUGCGCCACCCUGAGGAAGAAAGGUCAAGGUGUGACAGUUUAGGACUUUGCUCUGUUAUACUGCUAUAUGAAGAAGAUUUUUUUUUAUCUACCUGGUGGUCAAACUGGAUGUCCAUGUAUUUCCCAAAGCGGCUUGAGUUGUCAUUCUUCAGGGUUUUGGCAUUUCCAAAAGCCUGUAAGUUAUAAAAGAAUAAAUAAAUGAAAUGCCUGAUUUUAAAAUCCCAUUUUUCUCUAAAAUAGUUGUACACAGCAUGAACUUUGUCACACAUGUCCAAGUCACUGACCUCAAGCACUGGAUUGGAGAGGAGUAGUCUGUCUCGAAUGUUGUUUAGGAGUCUGGUACUCGGGCAGCUCACAGCGUAGUACUGAAGGAUUUUCUUGGAGG